Molecule: ribosomal RNA, 512 nt
Filed under: uncultured bacterium
Lineage: Bacteria
Description: bacterial SSU rRNA
Rfam family: Bacterial small subunit ribosomal RNA
Source: RNAcentral
GACGAACGCUGGCGGCGUGCCUAACACAUGCAAGUGGAGCGACGGACCAGGGCUUGCCCUGGGGCCAAGCCGCGAACGGGUGAGUAACACGUGGGUAACCCACCCCGUUGACCGGGACAACCCGAGGAAACUCGGGCUAAUACCGGAUGAGCCCUACGGACUUCAGUCCGUCGGGGAAAGGUAGCUUCGGCUUCCGCUACGGGAAGGGCCCGCGGCCCAUUAGCUAGUUGGUGAGGUAACGGCUCACCAAGGCAACGAUGGGUAGCUGGUCUGAGAGGACGAUCAGCCACACUGGGACUGAGACACGGCCCAGACUCCUACGGGAGGCAGCAGUGGGGAAUCUUGCGCAAUGCGCGAAAGCGUGACGCAGCAACGCCGCGUGGGGGAAGACGGCCUUCGGGUUGUAAACCCCUUUCAGGAGGGACGAAGGUGCGGCGGUUAACAGCUGUCCGCACUGACGGUACCUCCACAAGAAGCUCCGGCUAACUACGUGCCAGCAGCCGCAGUAAAAC